This is a long non-coding RNA of Entelurus aequoreus (snake pipefish), 1041 nucleotides long. RefSeq lists it as uncharacterized. The record is from RefSeq and is a predicted model, not a curated record. Lineage: Eukaryota; Metazoa; Chordata; Actinopteri; Syngnathiformes; Syngnathidae. The transcript is spliced from 6 exons.
CGAACGUCACAUCUCUACCGGCAGCCAGUCGACAUAGCCUCUACGGUACCCAGCAGAGGCUAAUCACUUGGACUCGUUGGAGCUUACAGGAAAGUGACCCUUUACAUUGUUCUUCGAGGAGGGGCGAAAAGGGGGUGGGGCCUCCCCGUUUCAGUGCAGGGCUGUGGUUGCUAGACAACAGGGCCUCUCACUCUGAUGGAGUGUCAACAAUGGUCAAAUGGCUAGGACUUGGAUCUGAUCAAUUUCCAGCAUCCUCCUCCUAACGAGGUGACCAUGCGGGGGUUCGAGUCCCCAUAAAAACGGAUGAAAGACGCCAUCAAGCACAAAGUCCACCGACCCGCAGAUCCUUGUGGGAAGUCAUGAGAGACACCUGUUAAAGAUGUCUGAGAGCUGGAUGAGGCAUGAAGAUACUGAUGCUCUUCAAAGACGCGCUGACAUUUUUCCAGCGGAAUGGAAGAACCGCCUUUGUCUUUCCUGCUGCUGUUUCCUGUCCCUGCCAACGUAGGAAAAGAGUUCCAAAGACAUCAGGCCGAGUGAUCUUUGACGACGGGAAUUCUUUGCAGUCUGAGAACGCUGGAGGUCUUCAGAUGACAGCUGAGGAAUGUGCACGCUUGCAUUGUCAUGGCGGCCAUGAUUGUGCCGAGUGUGGGCGCUCUUCAUCGUGACCUAUUAGCUGUGUAGUGCUCCUGUCAAAGCAAGAACCCUGCUGAUUUUUACUGGCAUAGGAGGAAAUAGUCAAAUACACCACUUAUACUUUGGUUUUCACUCAUUCUCACUCAGCUGCAGAACUGCUGAUGAUGUCAACGCGUGAACGCUAUUGAUUUUGAGCUAUAUCCAUUUGAUGAGGUCAAAGGUCGAGUCAAGUCACCUUCCUUGCCACCUUCAGAUAAUUUUCAACAGAUUUUUGCUCAAGCUUUGCGAGAUUAGUGCUGUUUCUUUUGUUAGAGCAAGAACCCUGUUGAUUUCAGGCAUUUGGUUGCUGAUAUCACAAGGAAAAUGAUCAUUUUUUUACGGCUCGACCAGUUCUUUAACCCAUUGUCU